GAUUGUACUAGAAGUCUGCAUGCUAACCGCAAGGAGACAGCGGCCCAAGGUAUGAUUCAUGAUUGGGGUGAAGUCGUAACAAGGUAGCCGUAGGUGAACCUGCAGAAGGAUCA
Molecule: ribosomal RNA, 113 nt
Filed under: uncultured eukaryote
Lineage: Eukaryota
Description: partial small subunit ribosomal RNA
Rfam family: Bacterial small subunit ribosomal RNA
Source: RNAcentral